UACGUAGGUGGCGAGCGUUGUCCGGAUUUACUGGGCGUAAAGAGCGCGCAGGCGGUCGUACAAGUCGCGUGUGAAAGCCCCCGGCUCAACUGGGGAGGGUCACGCGAUACUGUUCGACUCGAAGGCAGGAGAGGGAAGUGGAAUUCCCGGUGUAGUGGUGAAAUGCGUAGAUAUCGGGAGGAACACCAGUGGCGAAGGCGACUUCCUGGCCUGUUCUUGACGCUGAGACGCGAAAGCUAGGGUAGCAAACGGG
Molecule: ribosomal RNA, 253 nt
Filed under: uncultured bacterium
Lineage: Bacteria
Description: partial 16S ribosomal RNA
Rfam family: Bacterial small subunit ribosomal RNA
Source: RNAcentral